UGGAAUGAUAGGUUCUUCAUCACUAAUACAGAAUCAUUUGUUGGGUGCGUGUAUUUCACUAAUGUAAAUGUUAGAUUUUUUUGUUGCAUAUCCCAGCAGAAAGUGGGGUCACAGCCCGGGUGAGAGAGAGACCCUCUAUGUAACCCCCCCCCCCUGUGUUCAUCACCACUACAGGUGUAUCUGUCAUGUUGUUUUGUCUGUCCUCUUUCUCCUGAUUUCACUCGUUCCCUCCGUUCCCCUCCUCUCUCUGCAGUCUCGGGUUCCCCUCCUCCGUCAGAUGGCGUUCUGCCUGGCCGAGCUUCACUGUUGGUCCUCCAGCAGCUCACUACAAGUCAGAGAUACAGAUAUUGGCACCCAUCAGUACUAUGACAAAGGAGAGCCAGCCGUCCCAUCAGAGCACCACUACUACACUGACAAACAGGAUUUCUCUGAAUGUAAGUCCUUUCAAAUCACUGCCCUCACAACACAAACCUUAUGCAGAAACGACUAACAUUAUAACAAGCCGUAGGUGAUAGUAUUUUGGUGGGUUAUAUUGUACUACGUUGAGGCAGAAGGGAGUUCAGGAGAAGUGAGAUCAUUUUGGGUGGGUGAUGUUGUAGUGGGGUUGUGUUGGAAUAGAUUGAAGAACAGGUCAAGUGUGGUAUUUAGGGGGUUGGGAGGAAGUGAGGACUGGUUGAGUGGGUACGUGUGUGUGUGUGCGUGUCAGUGUGUGUGGGUGUGUGUGUGUGUUCUCCCCAGUCCAAACGUCCACCCCAGAGUGGCACCAUUAGGAACCUAAUCACCAUCAUACCAGGAUGACCAGUUUCCAUGUAAUAAUUCUUAGCUAGUCAGUCUGUCAGUCAACCUGACUCUCUCUCUCUCUCUCUACUCCUUCAUCUUUCUCUCUUCUCAUC
Oncorhynchus tshawytscha (Chinook salmon) is the source of this 893-nucleotide long non-coding RNA. RefSeq lists it as uncharacterized. The record is from RefSeq and is a predicted model, not a curated record. Lineage: Eukaryota; Metazoa; Chordata; Actinopteri; Salmoniformes; Salmonidae. The transcript is spliced from 3 exons.